AUAUUGGACAAUGGGCGCAAGCCUGAUCCAGCCAUGCCGCGUGAGUGAUGAAGGCCCUAGGGUUGUAAAGCUCUUUCAACGGUGAAGAUAAUGACGGUAACCGUAGAAGAAGCCCCGGCUAACUUCGUGCCAGCAGCCGCGGUAAUACGAAGGGGGCUAGCGUUGUUCGGAUUUACUGGGCGUAAAGCGCACGUAGGCGGAUUGUUAAGUUAGGGGUGAAACCCCAGGGCUCAACCCUGGAACUGCCUUUAAUACUGGCAAUCUCGAGUCCGGAAGAGGUGAGUGGAAUUCCGAGUGUAGAGGUGAAAUUCGUAGAUAUUCGGAGGAACACCAGUGGCGAAGGCGGCUCACUGGUCCGGUACUGACGCUGAGGUGCGAAAGCGUGGGGAGCAACAGG
Molecule: ribosomal RNA, 397 nt
Filed under: uncultured bacterium
Lineage: Bacteria
Description: bacterial SSU rRNA
Rfam family: Bacterial small subunit ribosomal RNA
Source: RNAcentral